RNAcentral lists this ribosomal RNA (571 nucleotides) under uncultured bacterium. RNAcentral's name for it is "partial 16S ribosomal RNA". It matches the Rfam family "Bacterial small subunit ribosomal RNA", at positions 355 to 919 of the family's 1533-position model. The record is from RNAcentral.
UGGGGAAUUUUGGACAAUGGGCGCAAGCCUGAUCCAGCCAUGCCGCGUGCGGGAAGAAGGCCUUCGGGCUGUAAACCGCUUUUGUCAGGGAAGAAAUCUUCUGAGUUAAUACCUCGGGAGGAUGACGGUACCUGAAGAAUAAGCACCGGCUAACUACGUGCCAGCAGCCGCGGUAAUACGUAGGGUGCAAGCGUUAAUCGGAAUUACUGGGCGUAAAGCGUGCGCAGGCGGUUUUGUAAGACAGAGGUGAAAUCCCCGGGCUCAACCUGGGAACUGCCUUUGUGACUGCAAGGCUUGAGUGCGGCAGAGGGGGAUGGAAUUCCGCGUGUAGCAGUGAAAUGCGUAGAUAUGCGGAGGAACACCGAUGGCGAAGGCAAUCCCCUGGGCCUGCACUGACGCUCAUGCACGAAAGCGUGGGGAGCAAACAGGAUUAGAUACCCUGGUAGUCCACGCCCUAAACGAUGUCAACUGGUUGUUGGGAAGGUUCCUUCUCAGUAACGUAGCUAACGCGUGAAGUUGACCGCCUGGGGAGUACGGCCGCAAGGUUGAAACUCAAAUGAAUUGACGGGGU